RNAcentral lists this unclassified non-coding RNA (309 nucleotides) under Hevea brasiliensis (rubber tree). Lineage: Eukaryota; Viridiplantae; Streptophyta; Magnoliopsida; Malpighiales; Euphorbiaceae. The record is from RNAcentral.
UUAUGUACCUAUUAGAACGCCUGCAAGGAAGUUACUGGCAACCCCAACACCAAUGGGGACUCCACUUUAUGCUAUUCCAGAGGAUAAUAGGGGGCAGCAAUUUGAUGUGCCAAAGGAAGCUCCUGGUGGGUUGCCAUUUAUGAAGCCAGAGGAUUAUCAGUACUUUGGAGCUUUAUUGAAUGAAGAUGAUGAGGAGGAGUUGUCACCUGACGAGCAGAAAGAGAGGAAAAUUAUGAAGCUCUUGCUGAAGGUUAAGAAUGGGACACCUCCUCAGAGAAAGACUGCUUUGAGGCAGUUGACUGAUAAGGC